GAUGAACGCUGGCGGCGUGCCUAAUACAUGCAAGUCGAGCGAACAGACGAGAGUGCUUGCACUCUCUGACGUUAGCGGCGGACGGGGGAGUAACACGUGGGUAACCUACUUAUAAGACUGGGAUAACUUCGGGAAACCGGAGCUAAUACCGGAUAAUAUUUAGCUUCGCAUGAAGCAAUAGUGAAAGACGGUUCUGCUGUCACUUAUAGAUGGACCCGCGGUGUAUUAGCUAGUUGGUGAGGUAACGGCUCACCAAGGCAACGAUACAUAGCCGACCUGAGAGGGUGAUCGGCCACACUGGGACUGAGACACGGCCCAGACUCCUACGGGAGGCAGCAGUAGGGAAUCUUCCGCAAUGGACGAAAGUCUGACGGAGCAAUGCCGCGUGAGUGAAGAAGGUUUUCGGAUCGUAAAACUCUGUUGUAAGGGAAGAACAAGUACGUUAGUAACUGAACGUACCUUGACGGUACCUUACCAGAAAGCCACGGCUAACUACGUG
Molecule: ribosomal RNA, 499 nt
Filed under: uncultured bacterium
Lineage: Bacteria
Description: partial 16S ribosomal RNA
Rfam family: Bacterial small subunit ribosomal RNA
Source: RNAcentral